This 702-nucleotide ribosomal RNA is filed under the name Arthrobacter sp. A19MGK. Its description in RNAcentral is "bacterial SSU rRNA". It matches the Rfam family "Bacterial small subunit ribosomal RNA", at positions 112 to 826 of the family's 1533-position model. Lineage: Bacteria; Bacillati; Actinomycetota; Actinomycetes; Micrococcales; Micrococcaceae. The record is from RNAcentral. RNAcentral also lists the same sequence under 1 other name.
AACACGUGAGUAACCUGCCCUUAACUCUGGGAUAAGCCUGGGAAACUGGGUCUAAUACCGGAUAUGACUCCUCAUCGCAUGGUGGGGGGUGGAAAGCUUUAUUGUGGUUUUGGAUGGACUCGCGGCCUAUCAGCUUGUUGGUGAGGUAAUGGCUCACCAAGGCGACGACGGGUAGCCGGCCUGAGAGGGUGACCGGCCACACUGGGACUGAGACACGGCCCAGACUCCUACGGGAGGCAGCAGUGGGGAAUAUUGCACAAUGGGCGAAAGCCUGAUGCAGCGACGCCGCGUGAGGGAUGACGGCCUUCGGGUUGUAAACCUCUUUCAGUAGGGAAGAAGCGAAAGUGACGGUACCUGCAGAAGAAGCGCCGGCUAACUACGUGCCAGCAGCCGCGGUAAUACGUAGGGCGCAAGCGUUAUCCGGAAUUAUUGGGCGUAAAGAGCUCGUAGGCGGUUUGUCGCGUCUGCCGUGAAAGUCCGGGGCUCAACUCCGGAUCUGCGGUGGGUACGGGCAGACUAGAGUGAUGUAGGGGAGACUGGAAUUCCUGGUGUAGCGGUGAAAUGCGCAGAUAUCAGGAGGAACACCGAUGGCGAAGGCAGGUCUCUGGGCAUUAACUGACGCUGAGGAGCGAAAGCAUGGGGAGCGAACAGGAUUAGAUACCCUGGUAGUCCAUGCCGUAAACGUUGGGCACUAGGUGUGGG